This 1756-nucleotide long non-coding RNA is filed under the name Mus spicilegus (steppe mouse). RNAcentral's name for it is "lncRNA (ENSMSIG00000018848.1)". The stretch from base 1580 to 1655 matches the Rfam family "mir-196 microRNA precursor family". Lineage: Eukaryota; Metazoa; Chordata; Mammalia; Rodentia; Muridae. The record is from RNAcentral.
CUGCCUGAGGUUUCCUUGUGUCCCGGACUCUGCUGUUUUCUUUUGUCUAAUUUGUCCAUUUCUGCACUUGGCAAUUUCUUCGGGAACUAACUUGAAUCUACUUCUCCCUUGUCUGUAAUAGUCUCUUCUCUCUCUCUCUCUCUCUCUCUCUCUCUCUCUCUCUCUCUCUCUCUCUCUCUCUCUCUCUCUCUCUCACACACACACACACACACACACACAGUCUUCUUUUCUUCCUCCUAGCUAUCUCUGAUUCUUCCAGCUGGCUCUGGCCUGUCCCUGGCACCUCCCCGCUACCUACUGAUCCGACGGCGCCCAAGGCGGUAUAGGCUGGUAAGACUGCUCCCGGGAAGGAGGCUCCGGGAUGAUCCACGCGGCCGCGCCCCGCACCCACCGGCGGCGCCACGGAGACGCAGAGUUCUCCAGAUCCUCCAAGCGCCGUCGGCGCCACCACUCCAGACACUGUUCACGAGGCCUCAAAGCGUGGAGGCGGUGGCCCGGGGCCGACUCUCGGGUGACCGCCAAUUUGGUCCCAAGACACUUCAGGAUCUCGCAACGGAUGGAGGACAGCGCGGUUCCAAGAGGACAAGAGGGGAUAUAAACUGAAGUUCAUCAGCACAGUGAAGUUUUAUUGUAUUUCCGGUCCCUAAAAGAGAAGCCGGCAGCCAGGCAGACUCCCUCCUUAUCUCCGAGUUUCCACGCCAGGGACACACACGUGGCCAAGCGGACACUUGCCUUCGGGAGCAGGGAGGGAGGGAGCCGGCUCCGACCUACUCUCCCUCACUGGCUCAGGUAAGUCUAAGAGGCCUCUGAUAGUUGUGGCGUCAACUGAGCCACAACCUGUGAGGAUGUGCGAAGUGACUUUGUAGGGAUGGAAGAGAGCGGGAGACAAGGUUGUACUCAGACUAGAGGAAGCAAACUUGUUCUCUGCCUUUCCCCAGCCAGGUCCUCAACGUCUCCACUUCUUUGUAAAUGCGGAAAAGAGUGGCCUACCUGGGGCUGUCCAGCAGCUGUGAAACCAGAGUCCUAUCUUAUGCCAGCAGAGUGACUGUUUCAGCCUUAUUGUUUGUGCCCUAGAAUUCACGGUGCCUUCUAACCCUGACUUUCUCCAUCAAUUUUUUUUUUCUCAGUUCUACUUGGCUCCACUCUCCUGUCUACUCCCCUGUCUCAAGGCUGGGGUUGCCUUAGAGUUGGAUAUCUGAGAGCUGCCUGGGAGUCUGGGUAACCCUGGAGCCCAGGGACUGGCCAGAUGGUGAGUGUGUGCGAAUCUUCCUAGCAGUUUGAAGUUAAGAAUCCUUUUCAUCUGGGGAGCCCUCCAACUCCGGUCUGUGCUGAGAGGCCAAGUAGGUAUCUCACAAAGGCCCUGGCCGGGCUUAGACCUGGGUCUUGGUCAGGAUUCUUGAAGUCAGUUCUGGAUUUCUGGGUCCAGUACUUCAAAUUCCUGGUUAACUAGCAGCGGACCUCUGUUAGGAAAAAGUGGAAGAAAACAAGUUAAGCAGAGGAAGUAAAUUGUGUGGCCAUUUUAGCUCACGGGGGUGCCCCAGUGAGCCCUCACCCGCCAGGCAGCUUGAGCCGGGACUGUUGAGUGAAGUAGGUAGUUUCAUGUUGUUGGGCCUGGCUUUCUGAACACAACAACAUCAAACCACCUGAUUCAUGGCAGUUACUGCUUCUUGCUUAGCUGGGGGAGUUCGGUAGGGUUCCUCAGGACUGGUGUGUCAGUUACCCCUGCAAAAUAAUAAAACAGGCUUGAGGGUCCUCA